AUUAAUAUCUCAAAAUUCAAAAAGUGAUUCAGAAGAUUGAGUGUUUUAGUGGAGAAAAAAUAGGCAUGAUAUUGGGGAAGUGUGUGUUAUAGGAGAGAGAAGGCUAUGUAUCUAAACUUCUACUAAAAUUUAAAAAAAAAAUUAUGUAAUAUUUAAAAAAAAGGGAAAAUUAGAGAAUGCUAAACCUAUAGUUGUGUAUUUAAGUUAUUUUUUCUUAUUAUUAUUAGUCAAUAUUACGGCCCAUUUAGAUAAACUAUUUUUUUGGGCCCUUCUUCCAUAUUCUAUAGCAAACCGAAGUUGAUUCACAAUUCAAAAACCCGAUCCCCCAGCCCAACCUUUUUUCUCCUUUACCCAAAUAACCAUUUUUGUUAGCCCAACAUUCCCAUUAAUUAUCCAUCAGAGCUGACCCACAUCCAUUUUUUCUUCCAAAGGAAAACAAAAGCGGUGAUAGCGUCAAACGCAGCAGCAGGGUGCGCGUGAACAGAAAGUGCCCCCUUACGGGUUUCUUCACGCGGCGCCAGUAGCGAAUCAACCCAGAACUCCAAUGCAUCACCUUUUUCCCUCUCCGCAAUACAAACAGUUCGUCGCCAGCAGAAAGAUGCGUCCUUCACAGGCCAGGUGAAGCAAUCUCCACGAUUGCUCGUCCUUGGCCCAAGAUCGAGCGGCUCUCGUUGAUGAACCGUUGAGAAAUUGUACAGUGUUGUACGAAUUCAAGUUGUCUCCAUCUUUUCUUUUUCUUUGGAGAGAAAUUUCAAUUUUUGGGGGAUAGAAUGUGAAUCCCGUCUUUGACCUUUUCUCGCCCAUUUCGAAAAUCCUAGCUCCCUUCUAUAUAAUAUUGCUUUGGUUCUUUGUUGAGGGGAUUUUUUUUGGUUUCGAAAAUUUUCUUUAGUAAAAAAAUUUUGCAGAAAGAAAUACAGAGGAAGUUUGAUAAAAAAAAAAGAGUUCUUUUUUACAAAAAAGUUCUUUGAGCUGACAAGUUCCUGAACUUUGAAAAAAAAAUUAGUUUGGAGAUAAAUAGCUUGAAAAUCGGGAGAAGGCACUAACCGUUAGUUAUAAAAAUUCCACAUAAAUACUUAGGCAAAGAUAAUGGGAGUUCAGUCGUAAUUUGGGUCUUUGUUCGUUUUCCUCGUUCAUUGAAAUUUCUUGGAAUCGUCGAAAGUCGUUGCCCCCCUUUGCUCGUGUCGUCCCAAGUUCGCUGCACUGCAAGAGUAUUUUGCUUCAAACAGUUGGUUGGAUCGUUAUGUUGAUCGAGUGCCACAGUCCCUGUUCAUGUUGUUGUUGUUGUCUUGAGCUACAAAUGUGCAUUUACUGUAAAUUUUAAAAGAUAAAGCUCAUAUUUUUAAUUUGUAGUGUUCGCAUCCAAAUUAUAGUUGUGUUUAAUACUCUUUUUCCUACUCCUUCCUUAAACGCUUAUGCUCAUUAUUCAUCUCUGCAGGUUGUCACACUUUCCUCUACUUUGUGUAUUUGUUUGCAUAUCUAGAAUUCAGGGCUGUGAUUUCUUUUAUGGUUUACAACUAUUCGUCAAUCCUUCUUAUAAUUAGAAGUUCUCCAUGUUCAGUCUAAAUGAGUAUACUUAGUAAUACGCAGUUUGCUUGCUAUUCGGGAGUCAGACGCCACUUUAAAAAAAUGGAUUUGACUUUACAUCAUAUACCUUGAAUGGGUCGGUGUCAUCUCUUUGGGUCGUAACCUACUUAAUAUGUUGUUAUUUAAUGGAAAAUAAACCUAUCUUCCUCUACUGCUUUGUAACUUUUGUGAAAUUGUUUUCCUUGAUUUCAGUUUUUUUUAAAGAAAAAAGAAAAAAAAUAAAUAAAUAAA
Molecule: long non-coding RNA, 1815 nt
Organism: Solanum lycopersicum (tomato)
Lineage: Eukaryota; Viridiplantae; Streptophyta; Magnoliopsida; Solanales; Solanaceae
Source: RefSeq, a predicted model, not a curated record